RNAcentral lists this unclassified non-coding RNA (2136 nucleotides) under Drosophila pseudoobscura pseudoobscura. RNAcentral describes it as "GA23478". Lineage: Eukaryota; Metazoa; Arthropoda; Insecta; Diptera; Drosophilidae. The record is from RNAcentral.
UGAAAAGUUUUCUCUGUCUCGCUCACUCACUCUUUGGCCAUUUGUCAAUGACUGUGACUGUGUGGAGUGUGGAGUGACUUCUCGCGUGACUUCCAUCCGACAUCCAAGGCCCGCAUCCGUGCCCCGUAUCCCGUGCCCCGUGCCCCGUGUCCCGUGUCCUGUGUCUAUGGCUGCAGGGGGAAACACGCGGAAGUGGAUAAACUGCUGAAACAGACUCCCAGGACAAGGACUACUCCAAAACAGGACCACUCGCGCGGCCACAAUUCGUGCAGCGGAGGACGAGCCUCGCCAUAAAACAGAGGCGGCAAAUAGGAAAAGCCAAACGACAAGCAUCCAACAUCCAGCAUCCAACAUCCAGCAUCCAGUCUUUGUCUGCCCUGUCUGGGUCCCUGGCAAUUGGCCAAGUUAAUAGAGAAAACCGGAGCCGGGAGGCCCGAUAAUGACGUUGCUGCAGCUGCAGCCGCUGCUUCUGCUUCUGGUUCUGGCUCUGGUUUCGCCUCCAACCCAAUGAUGAUGCUGCUAACUUGGUUAUUGCUGCCGGCAUAGACAAAAACACAGACACAGACGCAGAAACAGCAACAGAAACAGAGCCACAGAGCCAGACGCAGGCACAGACACAGACACAGCGAGAGACGAGAAGAACAAAAAGAAAUAAAGCUAGCCCACCCUCCAAUCGGCAGCCUUCGGCCAGGACCAGGCCUUCGUCCAGGCUUACUGCAUUUCCGCUUGUUGUUCCUGUCGCCGCCAUCAUCCAGAAGCGUGGCCAUCGCCAUGCCACUCCACAUGGCGCACAGCAUCUGCGUGGCCUGGGCGAUGCUCCUCGUCGUUAUUGUGAUGAGCGAUAUGACAAAUGGCGGCGUGCAGGGCCCCAUCGAGGGCUACAACUCGCUGGAAGAGAUGAUGAUGACAACGACAGACAGGGCCCAGGCAGCCAUGCUCCUACCCACCGCGCCCACUGUCGCUUACACGCAUCCCAAAUGGAUGGAGCCAUAUUUCGAUCCCUCGACGCCGCGCAAUGUCACCGCCCUCAUGGGCAAGAACGCCUAUCUCAGCUGCCGUGUGCGCAAUUUGGCCAACAAAACGGUAUCGUGGAUACGGCACCGCGAUAUACAUAUACUGACUGUCGGCUCGUACACCUACACCUCCGAUCAGCGGUUUCAGGCCACCCACCACCAGGACACCGACGACUGGACGCUGCAGAUAAAGUGGGCCCAGAAGCGGGAUGCGGGCAUGUACGAGUGCCAGAUUUCGACGCAGCCGGUUCGCAGUUAUUUCGUCCGUCUGAAUGUUGUCGUGCCAACGGCUACCAUCCUGGGAGGACCUGACCUUCACGUUGAUAAAGGCAGCACCAUAAAUCUCACUUGCACUGUAAAGUUCAGCCCCGAACCACCGGCCUACAUCUUCUGGUAUCAUCACGAGGAGGUCAUUAAUUAUGAUUCAUCAAGAGGCGGCGUGUCGGUAAUUACCGAAAAGGGCGAUGUGACAACCUCAUUUCUGCUCAUACAGAAUGCAGAUCUGGCCGAUUCGGGCAAAUACUCCUGUGCUCCUUCCAACGCAGAUGUGGCCAGCGUGCGUGUCCAUGUCCUAAAUGUUCGGGCCAUAAUUUCAGGUGAACAUCCGGAGGCAAUGCAAACAGGCUCAUCCGGUUGUCAGGUCAAUUGGCUGACAAUUGUCCUGCUGCUGGGCCUCGUCCUGUGCUACAGUAAGCAGUGCACAGCCGCACUGCCAUCUCCGUUGCCAGGGUUAGCAACAGCAAUAGCAAGUGCAUCCAGUGAAAGCACAACUGCCACAUCGAGGAAACGCUGCCCUGCGGUCGCCAGCUGCCGCCAAGCCGCAAGCCACGCCAACACCCAGGCCCAGGUCCAGGUCAAACGCCACUGUCACAGAUGAUCGAAUGGAGGCGACACAGGCGGACAGCAGCAACAACAGCAGCAGCAGCAGCAGCAGCAGCAGAAGCAGUAAAUGCGACAGCAGCAACAACCACAACUAUCUAGUGUAAUUUAAGGAGACACAUGAAAUGUGUUAGUGUCAUAAAUGCAGAGAGGCAAACAGAAUGUAUUCACUAAGUACGAAUAUGAUAGGAUAUGAGUAAUCUCUUUGGCCAGCGGCGAGGACUCUUUUAAUAAAUUAAUUAAU